Molecule: long non-coding RNA, 1002 nt
Filed under: Zonotrichia albicollis (white-throated sparrow)
Lineage: Eukaryota; Metazoa; Chordata; Aves; Passeriformes; Passerellidae
Description: lncRNA (ENSZALG00000001751.1)
Source: RNAcentral
AUUCUCCAUCACUUAUCCCAAUUUUUCCCCAAUUUUUUCUUAAUUUUUCCCCAAUUUUUUUCCUAAUUUUUCCUAAUUUUCCCCAAUUUUUUUCUUAAUUUUUCCCCAAUUUUUCCUCAAUUUUCUCCUAAUAUCCCCCCAAUUUUUUUUCCAAUUUUUCCUCAAUUUUCCCCCAAUUUUCCCCAAUUUUUUUCUUAAUUUUUCCCCAAUUUUUCCUCAAUUUUCUCCUAUUAUCCCCCCAAUUUUUUUCCAAUUUUCCCCCAAUUUUUUCCUAAUUUUCCCCAAUUUUUUCCUAAUUUUCCCCAAUUUUUUUCUAAAUUUUUCCUCAAUUUCCCCCAAUUUUUUCUUAAUUUUUCCCCAAUUUUUCCUCAAUUUUCUCCUAUUAUCCCCCCAAUUUUUUUCCAAUUUUUCCCCAAUUUUCCCCCAUUUUUUUCCUAAUUUUCCCCAAUUUUCUCCUAAUUUUCCCCCAAUUUAUCCCCAAUUUUUUCCCAAUUUUCCCCAAUUUUUCCUUAAUUUUUCCCCAAUUUUUCCUCAAUUUUCUCCUAAUAGUCCCCCAAAUUUUCUCCUAAUUUCCCCCCAAUUUUUCCCCAAUUUUCCCCAAUUUUCUCCUAAUUUUCCCCCAUUUUUUUCCUCUAUUUUUCCCCAAUUUUUUCCUAAUUUUUCCCUAAUUUUCACCCAAUUUUCCCACAUGUGGGCCCACCAGGGAGGGAGCAGCUCUGAUGGAUUCUCCUCAGUCCCACUGAGGUUCCUCCCCAUCAGCGAAUCCCAAAUAACCUGGAAUUACCCACCCCACUGGAUUUGCUCCUUUUGCCUUGGUUUCUGCCACCAAAAAUUCAACACCAAAGGUAAAAAAAAUCCCAAUUUGUUUUGGGAUUUCUCCCUUCAUGCUGCACUCACCCCUGGCAGAUCCCACUCCAGCACAUCCCAGCUCCUGCAAAAGAACAAAAACCACCUCCAAUUAGCACAGCUUUCCAAUAAAUAUCCAAACAUUACAAAAUUUUG